RNAcentral lists this transfer RNA (73 nucleotides) under Hypsibius dujardini. It matches the Rfam family "tRNA". Rfam says of the family: Transfer RNA (tRNA) molecules are approximately 80 nucleotides in length. The record is from Rfam by way of RNAcentral. Lineage: Eukaryota; Metazoa; Tardigrada; Eutardigrada; Parachela; Hypsibiidae.
GGGAUUAGCUCAGCUGGCUAGAGCGCCCUGCCUUGCACGCAGGUGGCAACGGUUCGACUUCCGUUAUUCUCCA